GAUGAACGCUGGCGGCGUGCCUAAUACAUGCAAGUCGAGCGAACAGACGAGGAGCUUGCUCCUCUGACGUUAGCGGCGGACGGGUGAGUAACACGUGGAUAACCUACCUAUAAGACUGGGAUAACUUCGGGAAACCGGAGCUAAUACCGGAUAACAUGUUGAACCGCAUGGUUCAACAGUGAAAGACGGAUUUGCUGUCACUUAUAGAUGGAUCCGCGUCGCAUUAGCUAGUUGGUAAGGUAACGGCUUACCAAGGCAACGAUGCGUAGCCGACCUGAGAGGGUGAUCGGCCACACUGGAACUGAGACACGGUCCAGACUCCUACGGGAGGCAGCAGUAGGGAAUCUUCCGCAAUGGGCGAAAGCCUGACGGAGCAACGCCGCGUGAGUGAAGAAGGUCUUCGGAUCGUAAAACUCUGUUAUUAGGGAAGAACAAAUGUGUAAGUAACUAUGCACGUCUUGACGGUACCUAAUCAGAAAGCCACGGCUAACUACGUG
RNAcentral lists this ribosomal RNA (497 nucleotides) under uncultured bacterium. RNAcentral describes it as "partial 16S ribosomal RNA". It matches the Rfam family "Bacterial small subunit ribosomal RNA", at positions 28 to 507 of the family's 1533-position model. The record is from RNAcentral.